Long non-coding RNA from Dreissena polymorpha, 1530 nucleotides. RefSeq lists it as uncharacterized. Lineage: Eukaryota; Metazoa; Mollusca; Bivalvia; Myida; Dreissenidae. The transcript has 6 exons. The record is from RefSeq and is a predicted model, not a curated record.
UAUUAAUUAAAUUGAAUUCUGAUUAUAGAUAUAAUACUACAAUGUAAGUUGUAAAAGCUACGAUGCGAAGCGAUUAAUCAAAUUUGUCCACAUUUACAGGUCUUUUGAUUAUUGCGGGAAUACUGUGUGCAAGCGGAAUAUCAGAAUGCCUUGAAUGCUUCAAUUGUCUAAAUAUCACUGAACCACGGACGUGUACAAACACGUCUCAAUGUUCAAAUAGUGAGUCCUGUUAUUUGCAAACGCUCCACUCCGGCAAUGAAGUACAUUACGACAUGGGCUGUCAGAACAAUCAGUUGUGCAGCUCAAUGGCCGUUGGCCCCAACGGUAUCAUUGGUCGCUCUAUAAGGACCAGACAGCAGUACUCUUGUUUUGAAUGUUGCAGCAGUAACCGUUGCAACGAGAAUCUAUGUGCACAUAGAAAACCUUGAAUCGACGACGAAACACUUGACUGUGCCCGUCUGAACUCCAUUUUUGAAGUCUGUGGUGAUGUUCAUCACGCCAAAACUACUUGUCAUAAGUUUUGCGGACUCUGUGAUCUCGUUGAUGGAAACUGCGGAAACUGGGGAGAGUGGACUUCAUGCUCCGUAUCGUGUAGUAACGGAGCGAAAACCCGCACAAGGACCUGUUCAAACUCGUCUCCUUCCAACAAUGGACUUAACUGCACUGGGGCUGAUGUUGAGUAAAAACCGUGUUCGAACCAGCUUUGUCCGGGUAUGAAUAUGUUCAAGCACAUUGAACCCUGCAGCGCCAUUGGUAAGUAUCAAUUGUAUUAUAAUGCAAAGUUCGUCGAAAAAGAAUCAACUAGUUUUUUUAUAAUGUAUAAAUCAGAAGCUUCAUACCCGUAGGUAAUAUCAGUUUGUGUUAAUACAAUAUGUGAGUUAAAGGUGUAUUUAAUAAAGUACGACAAGACGUGAGAGGGGCAAUCACGAUUCUACUGUGUGUGUCAACGCACCAUGUAGGUAAAUACGUAUAAUACAGUUUAUACGAGAGAAUAUAUUUUUAAAUCACUGCGUUUGUUGAUGUCAGUUUACGUGAUAACAAUAAAUUAAUAACAGGCGAUUGAUAGCAUUAUUGUGAUAAGUCAAGAUGCCACGCUCCUUUUAUAUUGAAUGGCUGUAAAGGUAAUCAGUAUUGUGGUGUGCGGAAAUUUAGUAAAAACUUACAUAAAAGUGUCAACAAUGCUGGUUUUUUGAUAGUUUCUCGACGUUUUGGAACCGAUUUCUAAUUGCUGCAAAUCACUGCAUGUGCGUGCAGUGUAAACUGCGUUAUUAAUCGGGCAUUUGUUAUUUCGGGCAUGAUGUUCACAAUUCAAUGUUGGUUAAACAAGCGAUGUUGAGUUAAUUGGUAAAAAUUGCGAUGUCUUAUAUGUAACACUGUUUUAACCAAACUUCACAUUGAUACAUUAUCUGACAUCAUUUCGUAUCUAAGGAAUCUAGUUGAAAAAUAUGUUAUUUUUCAAGCACACGGGAACUGGUCAGAUUGGUCCAUGUGGUCUGAUUGCUCAGUUACUUGUGAUGUGGGACUUCUUAA